Molecule: ribosomal RNA, 496 nt
Filed under: uncultured bacterium
Lineage: Bacteria
Description: partial 16S ribosomal RNA
Rfam family: Bacterial small subunit ribosomal RNA
Source: RNAcentral
GAUGAACGCUGGCGGCGUGCCUAAUACAUGCUAGUCGAGCGAACGGACGAGAAGCUUGCUUCUCUGAUGUUAGCGGCGGACGGGUGAGUAACACGUGGAUAACCUACCUAUAAGACUGGGAUAACUUCGGGAAACCGGAGCUAAUACCGGAUAAUAUUUUGAACCGCAUGGUUCAAAAGUGAAAGACGGUCUUGCUGUCACUUAUAGAUGGAUCCGCGCUGCAUUAGCUAGUUGGUAAGGUAACGGCUUACCAAGGCAACGAUGCAUAGCCGACCUGAGAGGGUGAUCGGCCACACUGGAACUGAGACACGGUCCAGACUCCUACGGGAGGCAGCAGUAGGGAAUCUUCCGCAAUGGGCGAAAGCCUGACGGAGCAACGCCGCGUGAGUGAUGAAGGUCUUCGGAUCGUAAAACUCUGUUAUUAGGGAAGAACAUAUGUGUAAGUAACUGUGCACAUCUUGACGGUACCUAAUCAGAAAGCCACGGCUAACUACGU